GCCGGGGUGGCGGAAUAGGUAGACGCAAAGGACUUAAAAUCCUUCGGGCUUUUUGCCUGUGCCGGUUCGAGUCCGGCCCUCGGCACCA
RNAcentral lists this transfer RNA (88 nucleotides) under candidate division TM6 bacterium RIFCSPHIGHO2_12_FULL_36_22. RNAcentral describes it as "tRNA-Leu". It matches the Rfam family "tRNA". Rfam says of the family: Transfer RNA (tRNA) molecules are approximately 80 nucleotides in length. The record is from RNAcentral.